Molecule: long non-coding RNA, 988 nt
Filed under: Homo sapiens (human)
Lineage: Eukaryota; Metazoa; Chordata; Mammalia; Primates; Hominidae
Description: HSALNT0038325
Source: RNAcentral
UGAACACCCAGCUGCAGAGCGGAGGCUCAGAAAUGGAUGCUUGCUCACCUCCUGCAUGUGGUGUCCUAGAAAGCCUCUUGUUUCUCCAGCUGUCCUCCCCGGCAGCAUUGGCAUCACCUGGGAGAUUGCUAGAGAUGCAGAUCCCAGGCCCUCGCAGAUCCAUGGAGUCAUCACCUGCAUUUUAGCAAGAGUUCCAGGUUUUAUGGAUCCUGUGAGUCUGCUUAUCACAGUCAUUUGAAGAGAGAAACAACAACUGCCAAUCAUGAAACAGAGGAUGUGUGAGAUAUGGGCUUGCUGUGAACCAAGAUGAUCCAAAGGGGAUGCUGAAAGCUUAGCAGAACCAAAUACUCAAAUAGAAAAAAUGUGGCUGAUUUGCUUCAACAGCUUUCCGAGAUAAUAUACCAAAGUGGAAACUGAUAGCUUCUCCAGAUCAUACUUGCUCAUUCUGUCCCCGAUUCUUGGGCAGAACUCUGGUCUAGAGAGAACUUUCCUUAUUCCAAGAAGCACCGUGAGCAGAAGACCUAAAACAAGACCCAUAGAGUAAAGGGACAUGGGAAACAAAAUGGCAAAUCUGACAUCAGAAAAAAAUGAAGAAGAAAAUAAAUAAAAAAUAUAGCCUUCAUACUUUUAAGUAAAAUGAGUGUAAGCUAGUUGCAAAAGACAUAAAAUUAAUAAAAGAUAACAACUUAAUAAAAGAUAUCAAAUCUAAUCUGUCUCUCUCACAUGCACAGACACACACACACACACACACACACACACACACACACAAAGUGUUGAAAGGAUAAUCAGGCAGGCCGAUUUUAAGAAAUAAAUGUAAAAAUAAAGUCAUCAAAAACUGUCACCGCAUUAAGAACCUAAAGGAUUAAGAAAGACAACAUAGAAAAUAGCAUCCAUGAGCAUAGAAGGCUUGAAAUAAUCACAGAAAAAGAAAUGAAACAAAAAAAUUAGAAAGCGAUUAGAUACAAUAUUAUAGAUAUGGAAGUCAGAC